Molecule: long non-coding RNA, 465 nt
Organism: Diachasmimorpha longicaudata
Lineage: Eukaryota; Metazoa; Arthropoda; Insecta; Hymenoptera; Braconidae
Exons: 3
Source: RefSeq, a predicted model, not a curated record
UCUCCACCCUCACCUCCAGCUUGUUCACCACAACGCCAGCCUUCGCCGGGACCGGCACCAAGGGAGCAAGAGGAUCCUCCUCAACCUUCGGUAUUCGAUCCUAAUGUACUCGUCCAGCACGUGGAACUCUUAGGCAGGCAGAUUGCUGAUAUGCAGAGGCAGAUGCUUCUUGAGAGGCAACCUCCUGCUCCAUUGGUGCAGGAUCCUCAGGAGCCUGCCCCAAGAGGUAGGGGCAGAGGUGCCUCUAGGGGUAGGCCCAGAGCUGGGAGAAAUCUCGGCCAGAGGAACGCUCGAUACUGGAGGGGACGUUAUUACCAGAAUAGGUCCCGUCAAGGAAGAGGAGCUUCCUUCAACUUUUUUUAUAGGGAUUGACGAGCAAUCUUGUUGCCGUGUCCGGUCCUCAUUCCACAUACUUCUUCGAUCCCCACGAUGUCUAUUUUUCAUUAUUGAAAAUUUAAUUUAAAA